UAUCCCCCAAACUAAGGGGGGAUGAGAACCACUGACCGGGGUUCGACAACUGGCGCAGCCAGUUGGACAGACGACGAGCCUGCGAACGGGCUGCCCCGAAGGGCGAGCGCAGCGAGUCAAUCCCCCCCUCACCGCCA
Molecule: small RNA, 137 nt
Filed under: Salmonella enterica
Lineage: Bacteria; Pseudomonadati; Pseudomonadota; Gammaproteobacteria; Enterobacterales; Enterobacteriaceae
Description: RtT sRNA
Rfam family: RtT RNA
About the family: This family represents a bacterial cis-regulatory element known as RtT RNA. The exact function of RtT is unknown although it is thought that it may be involved in changing the cellular response in relation to amino acid starvation.
Source: RNAcentral